AUGGGACGAAAUAUGAGCCAGAUAAUAAGGAUGAAAAGCCCAAUAAGCAUGGCCACGGUGAUGACGACUUUGAGGAGGAAGGCCAAAAAACAGCAGCAGCCGCAGUCAGAACCACGGCCACGGCGGUGGUAGUGUUGCGGAGGUGGGAUUGAUGGGCCAUAAGAGGCCCCAUUCAAAUGAGCUUGUUUCUCUGCCAUCACGGAGCUGUUCUGGUUGGUCAGAAAACAAAAGGAGAGUAGACAAAUGUGCUGUAAGAGAUAAAACAACUACUCUGAAAUUGUUGAGAUAUGAUUUGGUCUGCUAUUAAUGUGUUCGUGAGUGUAUAUAUAAGAAGGGAUUGUAAGAAGAUGAUCAGUUGGGUAGGUGUGAAUUUUUCUUCGCACCAAGAGGGACACCGAAGUUGGAGAUGUUGGCCGCGUCCAUUGACGACGCGGUUACUUUGUGGGAUUGCUCUUCUUAGGCAAUUUGUAAGUUCAGGCAUAUCUUGUGUGGGUGGAGACCUCUUCAGAUGGAACCUGAAAACUUCUAAAGUGUAAAUUUGGCCGCGUCCUUGGAUUGUGCUCGGAAACUUCAGCAGCUUCCAUCGACCUACGCGUAUAUGGUUUCCCUUUCAAACUUGGACACGAUGUUUCAAAAUAACCAGUUCCUCCUAAUCUAUUAUUUGGUACGAAAGAAUAAACUUAAGAUGGAGUCUGCAACUGGGUGCACCGAAUUCCAACGAUUGUUAGAUUUGCAAGGCUCACUCGUUGACUCCUUUUCUGGGAGUUGAAAAUACUUCUCUCAUUUUUAUUUGUAUUAAUAAUCCAGACGGGGUCUUUUAAUUUAUAUCUUCUGAGGUAUUCAAAGUUUGUGGAAAAUUUCAUUCAGAUGCAACAUCUACAUUUGUGAAGUUAGCCGUGAUUUGUACUAGAACACGAUUAAAAUCAUGUUUUUUAAAAAUUUUAUAUUUUUUUAUUUUAAAUUAUUUAUGUAUAUAUAUUUAGAUUAUUUUUAAUUUAUGAUGUUAAAAAGAAUUUUUUAAAAAAUAAAAAAAUAAUAAAAACAUUAAGUUUUUCUCACUACAAUAAUCUCAGGCACUCGAGAUAAUAAAUUGUUAAUGGAAUAAUUUGUUCUGCCACUGGGACCUUUUUUCCUCCUCCAUGUGCACGCACGGCGCAGAGAAAUUUCAAGUGACUUGGACAUUGGGCUAAAAUGAUCCAGACCUCUGGUUUUGAGUGUGGCCUUGUUUUUAAUAAAAACGAAACAAGUAUUAACCAGUACUGUUUAUAGAUCAAAAGCGGUUAAAAGCAGUUUUGAAUUAAAGAGCACAGCAAUAUUCAGCCACAAUGUUAUAGGUACAGCUUUUUUUUUAUUAUUAAUGGAUUUUCUACUUAGUGGUAAAUUUUCAGGAAGAAUUAACAAAAACCUAAUAGGUGUGGAUGAUUUAUUGCAGAAGCACUGCUCAAUAAAACAUAAUUUAUCGUGAAUUUGCACAGUUCUAUUUUUUUGUUCUUUCAAAAAUUUCCAUUUUGGUCAUCAAACAUUUUUUUUUCAAUUAAAUUCUUUUGCAUUGCAUUUAUUGAGAAUUAAGCAUAAUAGUUUGUUUUAAUUUAUUUUUUAUGAAUUUAUCACGAUGAGAAAAAAAAUUUCCUGGCAUUAGAUUGAUUUGCAAUUUUAUAAAAUAGAAUUUUAUUUUAUUAGGAAGACAAAUUAAAACAUAGGGGACUACAUUUGACCGUGAGCAAUAAACUACUUUUGACUGUGAGCAAUAAUGCAUUCUUUUUCUUUACAAUGUCCAUUCCAUGAUUUUGGCCGGUGAAUUUCCCAUUUUCAUUUUAGGUGCAUGUAGUUUGAAAUUUUGAGUUUUGAUGCAAAACUUUUGUUCUCUCUCUCUCUUUAUAUAUAUAUAGUAAAUGCAAUAGUAAACAAACACUAAAAUAAAUACUCAGUACGUGACGUUGUUAUACCUGAGAAUGAUCUAAAAAAUCGGGUCACAGGUUUCCAGCCUAUAUACUGAUUUUUUGAAAAAGAUCAAAGAAAUAAUAUAAACAGAUUUUUGAUGCGAAUGAACAAGGUAAGACCAACAAUGUCAGGAUCCUUGAUCAAACACAGAGCAUACUUAACGUACGUAAAGUAUAACAAGAAUGUAAAUAAUGAAAAUAUAAUCUUACUUAAAUUUGUAAUAUAAAUUAACACAAGAGAUAUUGGGUACAAAUGAGAAUUGAUAUAGGUUACAGGUUAUGAGUUACAAGGGAGAAUAAGGUUUUUCUCUGGAAAAAUGGUAGUCUGCCUCUUGAAGAAUUUGGAGUCCCCUUGUAUAGACGAGUUGACAUGGAAGAGGCCAAAAUGUCUUGUUGGAGAUUCCGUCAGUACCCAUGUGAACCCAUGUGAUGUUGCCUGCCAUGAUUAGGUGGCGACAAAAAAGGAAGAUGCCUAUGUUUUUCGUGGGACUUUUAUCUGUUUUCUUGUUGCUACCGACACUAGUUUUGUCUGUUUGUAGUAGCAGAUAAUUUUUGUAAAAAGAAAGCCUAAAACAAACAGGAUUAAAAUAAAAAAAGGACUUAAAACAGGUGGGUCAAAAAUAUGGCUCUAAACAGAUGAGCCUGAGAAAGCUUGAAAAAUACUUUUUUUUUUUACUUAAUGUCGCUUGAUAGGUGGUAAAAUACCAAAACAAUCAUCUUCAUUAUUAUCUCCAAGGGAAAUGGCAGGAGAUAUCAAUCCAAAUGAGUUGGAUUGGGACAAGACCGUUUCGGGUCUUGGCUUUGUAUAAUGCUUUGGACUAUUUGUAGGUAUUCUUCAUCAGUUCUAGCAGAGGCAAGGAGAGCUACCGUUUGAGCUUUUCUGGCUAGAAACUUUGAUCGAGGAUGAUGAUCAAUGAUGGGAGUUGUUUGAUGUUUUUGUAACCAUUCCGUAACUACUAAUUUGGAACUUUUGGAUUUAGCUGCAAAAAAAUCCUACCAUUUGAUUUUGAACUUGCGAACUAGAACUGGAUGUCCGUUUUGUAAAUUAUAAUCAUAGAACCAUGAACAUACCCAUGGCAUAAAAAAUUUUGUACAGAAAAUGAGCAGGGAAGAGAACUUCCUUUCAGAAGGGGCUGGUUGGAAGUUGUUUUUGAAAUGAAGGUAGCCGUUUUCAAUCAAAGGAUGGUCUUUGAGGUAAUCAACAUGACAACCAUAGUAGUCCUACCAUUGGAGGAACCAGAGGGGGAGGUUUGUAGUAUUCAUGUAAUUAUGGAAGUAGAAAAGCCAAGAAUGACUAUGAUUUGGAUUUUGUAGGAGGAAGGCAUUGAACCAUUCCUGUUGGUAAUCCCAGUACGUAUAGGUGGUAUUGAAGUCCUGGGGGUUUGUACGGAAGUGUAUGGGAAAGGAAAAAGGUUGAUGUAAGGGUUGUCCCCAGUCUUUAGGGUGAAUGAUUUUGUGAAUGAUACAUAUAGAAUAUGCCGGUUUAGUGUGAUCAGAAUGAAGUUUGAAGUAUUUGAACUUGACAGAAUUAGUAAUCUCAAGGAUUGCGGCAUAAUAGGACUGUGGUUUGGCUAGAUUCCAGGGUUUGUAGUACCAAUUUGGAGGGAAAAUUUUUGAAGCAGCAAUGGAAGGGUUUUCAUGAUAAAAUCCUUCUUCCAUAGUUAAAAUAUUUUGAUAAGUAGUUUUGAAAAUAUAUUUGGAUUUGAUUUUUGGAAAACUGGUUUGUUGUAAAGAAAGGAGGGGUUUUGAAGUAGAAAUGCCUCCUUGAUGUUUUGAAAGUGGUUUAGAAAUACUACCUGUUUGAGAGACAGAAUCAUCGGAGGUCUGUUGAGACACUUUUUGUAGUUGUCGCACUUGACAUCGCGGCGGCCCUAAAAAUAAUUCUCUUUAUUAUGAAGGAAAAAAACAGAUUUAUGGCAUCUUAUUCUUUUAGGGGAAAAGGUCUUGUUUAAGGAGUCGCCACCUAAUAUUAUGGUCACUAGGAACCCUAACUGGUCAACAGAGAUUCUAUGGUACGGGACUGAUUACAUAAAAGGGAAGAUAUUAUCACCCCUUAAACGUUCUGCCUGAGGCAGACUGCAUUGCUGAUUUUGUCUUAAAUUGUUAAACAUUUAUUCGCUUAUGCUAUGAUAAUUUGUUUAUAAUAUUCCUGACUCUGGCGCCAGUGAAUAUUCGAUCUUGAAUAAUUCCAACUCUAGCGUUGGUAAAAAUUCCACCAAGAAUAAUUCCAACUCUAGCGUUGGUAACAAGAAUAAUUCCAACUAAAAAUUCUACCACGAAUAAUUCUAACUCUGACGUUGGUAAAAAUUUGUGGCUAUGAAAAAAUCAGUAUAUUUUCUUUUUUUAUUCAUGAUUCUGAUAUCAUUGAAUAAAUUGAUAAAAAUAUAUUUUUUCUAAGACAUGCAAAAACUUUUAUUUCUAAACUUUCUAUUUAUUUUAUUUUAUUUUAUUUUUUAUUUUUUUGGCUGGGCCCAGCGCAGCCCAUGUGGCUGGGCUGGACCCAGCAGGCCUAGCCGGGUCAUAGGCUUGACCCGGCUGGCCAUUUAUUUUACCAGCAGGCGUGCGUGAACUGAGCAUAUAAUUAAAAUGCAAGAAGGGAAAGCGCAACUUACUUGGUGCUGGAAAUGGCGGUCCGGAUUUUUCAGUCUUUCUUGGUCGUCUAUCCUUGCCUCAAGAUCCCUGUGUUCAUUCGUUUCCCUUCUGUCGAUGUAUUCCUUCUGUCAGCUACUCGUUCCUCUCUCCUUUUUAGCUUCUUCCUCUUGCCGUGGAAGCUGGCGCUGGAGAAGGGGAAGCCGGUGAUGAUGCUGGUGCUCUCUGGUGGUUCUCCCUUUUCUGCUUGUUUUUUUUUCCUUUGUUUUCUUUUGUUCACUUUGUUUGUGUUCUGGGGACGAAAACAAAGCUUGGAGCACUGGCUUUUUGCUCUUUCCUUUUCUUAGUCUGUGCUUUCGGUCCUCCCUCUCUCGGUACCCUCUGUUUUGUUCUCUGCUCUCUCUCUAUCUACUCCCUGUCUAUCCCCCUGUUUAUUUCUCUUCGUCUCUGUUCCCUGAGAAGAAACAAAAAUUUGCUAUUCUGGUUCGUUCUUCUGUCUUCGUUUUCUGCCGUUUUUCUCUGGUUUUUCGUCUAGGAAACGGACACGAGUUUGAAAGAGAGAAAUUUUUGUUUUAGAAACAACUAAACCAUUUUAUUUAACAGUAUGAAAGAAAAUAUGUAGAUAGAUGUUUGAAAUGUUGAUCAAUAGAAUAUGAAAAAAUAAACACAUCGUUAAUGUAAACAAUACAAAAUUUUGAAUGUGCAUUAAACAAGUGGUAUGCAUCACAGAGAAAUACUAAAUUCAUUAUCUAUUAAUUAUAUAUAUAUAGUCUCUGACUAUGAACAUAAAAGCAUGAUAAGGGUAAAAAAAAUAGUAAUAAUAUCAAACAAAACCAAUCAAAGAUUGAAUCAAAUAUGGAGAUGAGGUUCUGCGACCAUGAUGAUCAUCAAAACUUGAUCUCGCACUUGUUAUUACUGAUCCCAGCAACAGGAGAUCCGUUCAGAGGAAUCUUCAAAUCGUCACACUCAACCUUGGGCUUGAACCUUGCAGUCUUGACCUUACCAAGCUUAAAUCUAAUCCUCAAAGACAGCUCCAAGGCAAUACUAUAUAACCCGCUUGUUCUUUCUUGAUUAAACUGUGUCAACUCUUCACCUUGAAGGGUAACUGCUUGCUGCCCUUUAAAAACCACGUUCAAGACACUUGUGUUCUUGUGUCCUUGAUAGAAUGGAGUCAAGGCAUGAUAGCCAAACCUCUGGUCCUCAUAAAAUGCCCUGGCCUCUAUCCUGUCAUAGUAAAUCCCAAUCUUUUUGUUAGGGUUGCGGAUACUGAUGUUGGCAGCAAGGUUGAAUUGGAGCAUGUUGUUGGUGUAGUUGAACUGAGUUAAAGCAACGUCUGUGACAUGGAAUUCGACCUUGUUAAUGGGACGAAAUAUGAGCCAGAUAAUAAGGAUGAAAAGCCCAAUAAGCAUGGCCACGGUGAUGACGACUUUGAGGAGGAAGGCCAAGAAACAGCAGCAGCCACAGUCAGAACCACGGCCACGGCGGUGGUAGUGUUGCGGAGGUGGGAUUGAUGGACCAUAAGAGGCCCCAUUCAAAUGAGCUUGUUUCUCUGCCAUCACAGCUCUGUUCUGGUUGGUCAGAAAACAAAAGGAGAGUAGACAAAUGUGCUGUAAGAGAUAAAACAACUACUCUGAAAUUGUUGAGAUAUGAUUUGGUCUGCUAUUAAUGUGUUCGUGAGUGUAUAUAUAAGAAGGGAUUGUAAGAAGAUGAUCAGUUGGGUAGGUGUGAAUUUUUCUUCGCACCAAGAGGGACACCGAAGUUGGAGAUGUUGGCCGCGUCCAUUGACGCGGUUACUUUGUGGGAUUGCUCUGUAUUUUCUUAGGCAAUUUGUAAGUUCAGG
This 6369-nucleotide long non-coding RNA is filed under the name Populus tremula. Its description in RNAcentral is "long non-coding RNA (PTRE_LNC002502)". Lineage: Eukaryota; Viridiplantae; Streptophyta; Magnoliopsida; Malpighiales; Salicaceae. The record is from RNAcentral.